This 232-nucleotide ribosomal RNA is filed under the name Bacillus cereus. Its description in RNAcentral is "partial 23S ribosomal RNA". It matches the Rfam family "Bacterial large subunit ribosomal RNA", at positions 2601 to 2831 of the family's 2925-position model. The record is from RNAcentral. Lineage: Bacteria; Bacillati; Bacillota; Bacilli; Caryophanales; Bacillaceae.
CGAGCUGGCUUCAGAACGUCGUGAGACAGGUCGGUCCCUAUCCGUCGUGGGCGGAGGAAAUUUGAGAGGUGCUGUGCUUAGUACGAGAGGACCGGGAUGGACGCACCGCUGGUGUUCCAGUUGUUCUGCCAAGGGCAUAGCUGGGUAGCUAUGUGCGUAAGUGAUAAGUGCUGAAAGCUUCUAAGCAUUAAGCCCGCCUCAAUAUGAGAUUUCCCAUAGCGUAAGCUAGUAA